RNAcentral lists this RNase P RNA (369 nucleotides) under Candidatus Cloacimonadota bacterium. RNAcentral describes it as "Candidatus Cloacimonetes bacterium (wastewater metagenome) RNase P RNA component class A". It matches the Rfam family "Bacterial RNase P class A". Rfam says of the family: Ribonuclease P (RNase P) is a ubiquitous endoribonuclease, found in archaea, bacteria and eukarya as well as chloroplasts and mitochondria. Its best characterised activity is the generation of mature 5'-ends of tRNAs by cleaving the 5'-leader elements of precursor-tRNAs. The record is from RNAcentral. Lineage: Bacteria; Pseudomonadati; Candidatus Cloacimonadota.
CUUGAUGUCCGAACACUCGCAAUCUUUAACCAGGGUUGAGGAAAGUCCGGGCUCCAUAGGGCAGGGUGCUUGUUAACGGCAAGGCGGAGUGAUCCGACGGAAAGUGCAACAGAAAACAAACCGCCAGCAAAUCCUCGUGAGAUGCUGGUAAGGGUGAAACAGUGAGGUAAGAGCUCACUCGUGAUCUCGGGUAACCGGGAGCGUGGUAAACCCCAUCCGGAGCAAGAUCGAACAGGUGAGUAGACGCGGCCCGCAGAUCACCGGGUAGAUCGCUUGAGGCUUUUAGUGAUAGAAGUCCUAGAUAGAUGAGUGUUGCGAAGAUCUGAGAGGGUCUUCAGACAGAACCCGGCUUACAGGGCAUCAGGCAAU